GCCAGUUUUUAGGGCCAAUUGACUGACUAAUCCAAGCUUGCCAGCUUGUGGCGGAAAAAUAGAUCCAAACACACAUGCUCCCACAUUUAUGUGAUGACUUUACUCGGGGCCCACACCAUCGCCCUCUGGCCCCUAUUCCUCCAUCCUGAUGAGAUUUCUGGUUGGUUUAUGGUUACAUGGCAACCAACCAGUGUACAUAACGCCUCCCACCCCCAGACCCCCUUAGCUGGGAGACCCCAUGCCCUUUGCCCUCUCCCUUCUUGCUGCCUGGAAGAUGGACCUGGUGCCUAGAGACACGGCAGCUGUCUUGACCAUGGGACACAGCCACGCCCUGAGGAUGGCCGUGCAGGGAGACAGAGGAGGCUGGUUCCUGAAUGAGCGCAUCAACCCCAGACCACUCGUCCACCCUGGACAACUUGUCAGGGAUGAAGUGAGGAUCAAAUGAGUUAAAAGCUCGAGUUCUUCGGACUGUGACAGGCAGAGAAAAAGCGCUAAGUGCUGGCCGUUAAUAGUCUAGGUGGCCUUGGAAUCAAACCGAGGGGCCAGUUGCUUCUGCCGUGGUGGUGUUGUCCAAGACAAGAAGGAUGGCCCUGCGACCCCGGAGUCGCCAGGCAACCACUGUGCCUGCUGGUCCUCCUGCCUCCUGCUUCCCCCAGGCGUCAGGGCCACGGUCCAGGGAGGCCUGUGACACCAAGACAGCUCACCUGAGGCUACAGAUGUUCGCCAAAUGUACCCACGUCUGCUAUUCUCACCCAGGUGCCAUUAUCCACACCCUGGGUGUGAACUGAUUUUGCUUUUGGAGUGUAGAAAAAUAUGUGGAUGUGUGAAAAGUAAAGCAAACACUUGUUAUUCCAAAGUGUGAGCUUCAGCUGAGCUAAACAUAUGUAAAGUUAUAGUGGGAAGACCAGUGAACUAAAAUGAGUAGAGAUAGAACUUUCUAGAAAAAGAUCCUGGAUGGACUCCCUAUGAAACUUAUAUUUGUUUGAUUAAAAAAAAAAAAAACGACUGCAAUUACGCACAAAGCUUUCAGGCCCUUGUACCUGGCCUCCGUUCCCCUAAAUGAAUUGGUUUGCAGUGAUCAUUGGGAAGUCGUUCAUUCAACCAGCUAUUCAUCCAAGAAUUUACUGAGUGUGAGUUUGAAUUUAUUGAGUGUGAGUCAGGCACUGUGGCAUCCUCCUUGCUCAGUUUACAGUCUGUGGGGCACAAGCAAAUGCACACUUCUAAUAGAAGGAUUCGGAUUAUACUUGUGGUAAGGGCAGAGAGCCGACAAAAACAAAGGAAGGGCCUUCAGCCCAGGUGGCACAUCCAAGAAGACUUCCCAGGGCAGUCUGAUUAUCAGAGCAGAAUCCUGAAGGGAUAAAAAUAGUCAGAAGUCACGGCGCUUAUCUGCAUGCAACAGAAAUCAGCAAUGGCUGAUUCUCCCGAAAAGGGACUCAUUAAAGGAUAACUGAGUAAUUCACCAGAGGGCUGGGAGAGAGGAGGAACCACGCCCAAUGCUGAGUGUCCAGAAGUGGCCUGAUGAGGCAUGUGCCACCGCAUUGGGCUCACCAACCACCGGGGGAACUGCCACGGCCCUAUGUGCCCAGUGAUGCCACAGCUCGCCCUGUGACCACUGCUGCCCUGAGUGCUGGCUGCUUCUGCCACCAUUCUCGCCGCCUUCUGCAAGUUGCUGAUGUCUGAAUCAGAGAGCCACACGGUGGCAGCUAGUCACACAUCUGCAUUCAGCUGCAAGGGAAGUUUUGAGUUUGCUGGGCACCCAGAAAAUGUAAAAAAGCCACAGACACAGUGAGGAGGGUGGCCUGGAUAGAAACAGCCCCCCGUGCAAAGAGCCAGGGAAACAGUUUCAUCUUCUAUCUCCCUUAUUCGUCCAACAACCCAAGUCUUGAGAAACGCACAGAUGUUUGUCAUUGGCCAACCUUUUACUUUGCCAAAAAAGGCAUGAAAAUGACAACUACUGCUGCAAUUUAUUAUCAUUAUCAGUUGCCAAAAUAAAGGAUACUUAAUGCCAAAAAGGGAUGAAGGGCUUAAUUCCAGGAUCAGGAACAGUAAUUUGACGUGCAUGAAUUAGGCUUAACGAAAACCUGCAGUGCAGUGUCCUGUAUCUCUUUUUUUUGUAUGUACCGGUGGAAGCUUCAUCGAGGCCAGCGAUGCCCCAUGCACUGGCAUUUGGAAGUCAUUCAUUCAUCUGCUCUAAACAUGGGGACCACGGAAGGUGGGGAGUUAGGCAGAAAGAGCCAUGGGUUUAUAUUUUAGAAAGGCCAUUCUGGUGGCCGUGUGGAGGAUGAGUUGAGGCGCCAAGACUGGUUCUGCAGGUACGGGGCAGAGAUGAUGGUGACCAGGACUAAGUUAGUGAGUAGUCCCAGGGAGAGAGGAGAAGAAAUGAGCGGUGGCUGAAUCAGAAGCCUUAAUGGCCAAUAUGAUGGGAGUGGGGGAGAGGGGGAAAAAGGACCAAGGAUGCCGUCCAGGUUUCUACAGUAUUUUCUGCCUCUACUUCUCACUGGCUUUCUUGGUCCAGAAUCUUUCAGCUACGCCUAACGUCUUUCUAUUUAGAGCCGAAGUCCCAGAACUGCCCACUCCCUCACCACGCUCCCUCCCACACUGUGUCUGACUCUGCUUCCCCUCCCCAACCAUGCUUCUAACCAUCCUCUCCCCACUUCCCGGGAAAGCCGUUCAUCGACGCCUGGGCUCCCCCUCCACGUCCUGACCCAGCCGUGUUCUCAGAGGCCGCACUGUCGGCCCCACUGCCUCCUGACUCCUGCCGCAUCAAAUGCCACACUAAGCUGAGUCUCUUCCUCUGCCUCCCACAUCCUCCUGGCCCUGAUAUCUGGGUCGGUCCAUGGCUUUGGGACUCCAGGCUUCUCCUCAGCUAAUCCUACCCAGCACUACCUGUUCGGAUCUGUCACCCCCUCCAGUUCCCAUCCCCCAAAGCCUUCUACCCACUCUGAGCAAACUCCAGGAGCCUUGGUCUGGCACUCAAGGCUGCUUGCCCCCGUCCCCAUCUUCCCAUCCCACUCUCCCUCCCCAGCCCUUCUUACAGCAGUGCACACUCCAACUUCUUUGAACUACUCAUUGCUCCCACACUUCGCCUCAUCAGAGAGGCCUUCCCAGAAUGCCCUGCUCUAUACCGAUGCCCUCCCCACCAACCCAAGGUCAUAGUACAUCACUUAUUUUUCUUCAUAGCACUUACGUGACCUUUCACUAAAUAUUGAUCUAGUCUAUCGUCUGUUUCCCAGUGGCACGUGGACUCCAUGGGGACAGGGAUUACCCCCCUGGGUCUAGAACAGCCCUGGGCAUAUAGAAGGUGCUCAAUCAAUAUCUAUGAAUGAACACCUCCCCCUGCCCUUUCAGUAUCCUCCUGGAUUUCCCCUGGAAAAUACCUUGGGUGUCUCUUCUCAUAGCCUCCGAAGACUCAACCACGCUCUCACUGGAAACCCCAGCACCCAACAGGCUCCCCUCUUUCUCAAAUCCUUCCUUGGUCCACUCUGACCACAGUGCUCGUCUCCCUGAGUUUCAGGUAUCUGCUCCUGGGUCUGGACCUUCCUUGUCGGAAUACAAACUCCUGCAGGGCCAGAAGCUGGCUCUUCUCUCCCUUGACGGGUCUCCCUUCACCCUCUGUGCGCAGGACCGGCAACCAGACAACAGGCACGGGAUGAGCAGCUCAUCGGCCCUUCCGCCAAGCUGCCCGCACGCAUUUCACGGAAGUUGAUGCUGACCCAGUUUGGGUAACUUUUGCUGCCCCCUCAAGGUGACAAUUACCCUGAAUGUACAGUAGAUAUUCUUUUCAAAAGUAAACCAAUUGAAAUGGAAAAUUAAGAAAAAUGACUUUAGAUAUUUCAAAAGUCAUAGACAAAACCAAUUAAUCUCUUCACGUUUCCUUCUCUUCCACUAAGAACAUUGGGUCAGAGAAGCAAAGCUUUAAAAAUACCAUUCUUGCCAACCUGAACUUGGAGCAGAAAGUAAUAAUAUGAGCAAUUCAGAACAACAGGUAUAGCAAAUCUGGGUGAUUCAGUUUCCUUAGGAUGAGCGCUUUUUUUUUUUUAAGGGAAAAAAUUUACAUCCUUAUUUUCAUUAACCUCUAAGCGAACAUUAGCAUUUCCUCCAAGGAUGUGUACAGGCAAGGAACCUCUGUAAUAAUAGAAAUCCCUCUGAUUUUGUCAACAGUUUCUAAAUCUCAGAUUAUUUUUCUAUCUGUUAACAUUUCUGUAGCCAAGGCAAUGCUCGCCACUGUGUUGAGCUUAUGAUGGGUAGACAGACAUCGACCGUUCGAUCGUCUUAUUUAACACAUAUAGAAGCAUACCUACUACCACGCCACGAUUUUUAAAAAUCGUUUGGCAACUGUAUGUAAAUAUAAUUGCUUUCACUUGUGAUCUCAGAUUACUUUAUUCAUUUAUGUAAUUCUGAGGCAUCUACAGGCUCCAUCAAACUGCCAGCGGGGUCCAGGCAUGAGCAG
Molecule: long non-coding RNA, 4450 nt
Organism: Equus caballus (horse)
Lineage: Eukaryota; Metazoa; Chordata; Mammalia; Perissodactyla; Equidae
Source: Ensembl